Molecule: long non-coding RNA, 2119 nt
Filed under: Xyrichtys novacula (pearly razorfish)
Lineage: Eukaryota; Metazoa; Chordata; Actinopteri; Labriformes; Labridae
Source: RNAcentral
UUCAUUGAGGUUUAAGAGAUGUAAGGGAGAACACUGUCUCCCAGAUUUGGAUGUUAAAUUCGAGGAAGUGUUUAUGCUUUUCCCGGACACGGAUUUUUAAGAACCAGCUAUACCUUUUUUGUCACUUGAUAAAGUGAAACUGUUUUUUUCUGGUUUUUGCCACGAUGGCAAUUCAAGGAUCUUUUAUCUGCAUAUGCGUAAAAUGGCGAGUGUUCCGAGAAUGGCGAUGGCAAAUACAAAUGCUGCUUUUCCUGCUUCAUGUGGCUAACGUGGUUGAUGGUCAGAUUCGUUAUUCUAUACCAGAGGAGAUGAAGAAAGGCUCUGUCAUCGGGAAUGCAGCUCAAGAUCUUGGUUUGGAUCUUAGAAGGCUCCGUUCAGGGCGGGCCCGUAUCGUGAGUGGAGAAAACAUCCAGUACACCGAGCUGAAGACAGACAAAGGGACUCUGGUCGUGAAUGAGAGAAUUGACCGAGAGCAGCUCUGUGGAGACACGACUCCGUGUAGCUUCAGCUUUGAGAUGAUUUUAGAGAAUCCAAUGGAACUACAUCGAAUAACUGUCGAGGUUUUAGACAUAAACGAUCACGCUCCUGUUUUCACAAAUGAUAAGCCUAUUACUUUUGAGGUGAGUGAAUCAGCUGCAAUCGGGGUCAAAUUUCCUCUGCGGAGUGCAGAAGAUUUUGAUGUUGGGCAAAACGCUUUACAAGAUUACAUUUUAUCAACCAACGACAAUUUUAUAUUGAAGCAACAUGCGAAUCCAGACGGAAGUAAAUAUGUUGAAAUGGUGCUCCAGAAGCCUUUAGACCGAGAGCGACAUCCACACUUGUCCUUAAAGCUGAUCGCAGUCGACGGAGGAACACCACAGAGAUCUGGUACAGUAAAUAUAGAAAUCACUGUCUUAGAUGCAAACGACAAUAUUCCGAUUUUUAACCAGUCCGUGUAUAAAGCCUCUGUGUUUGAAAACACAAUGAAGGGAACAAAAAUUAUCACAGUAAAUGCAACAGACGCUGACAGUGGUUCAAAUGGAGUCAUUAGUUACAGUUUGUCCAACAACAAAGGCAGUGUGGCAGAUUUGUUUAGCAUCGAUGAGAAGACAGGCACUAUAUCUGUAAAUGGUCCACUUGACUAUGAAAAAGACAGGAAAUAUGAGGUGAGGGUGGAGGCUAAAGAUCAAGGUGGCUUAAUAGGAACUAGUAAAGUUAUAUUUGAUGUUUUUGAUGUUAAUGACAAUGCUCCAGUGAUAAAUAUUAUGUCGUUUUCUUGUCCUGUAUCCGAGGAUUCCCUUCCUGGUGCAACGAUUGCUAUUUUAAACGUCAAAGAUGCAGAUUCUGAUAAAAAUGGACAAAUAAAAUGUUCAGUCGAUAGGAAAAUACCAUUUAGGAUUGAAUCAUCUCUGACAAACUAUUAUAAUUUGAUCUCAGAUCAACAUUUUGAUAGAGAAUCUGUCUCAGAAUAUAACAUCACAAUAACAGCCACUGAUUUCGGUUCUCCACCUCUUUCCACCUCCACAAAAUUGCACUUAAAAAUUUCCGACGUAAAUGACAACGCGCCAUUAUUUGAUAAAACAAUUUACUCUGCUUACGUCACAGAAAAUAAUCCACCUGGAGUAUCCAUAUUUACUGUCAGCGCAAGAGACUCAGAUUGGGGCCAAAAUGCGAGAAUCUCGUAUAUUUUAGAGGAUACACAGGUCAGUGGAAGUCCAGUCUCAACUUAUGUGAGUCUAAACUCUGAAACUGGAGUUCUCAGCGCAGUUCGUUCUCUUGAUUAUGAGCAAAUCAAAUAUCUUCAGCUGGUAGUCAAAGCUCAGGAUGGAGGCUCCCCUCCACUCAGCAGCAACGUGACAGUGAAAAUAGUGAUCCAGGACCAGAACGACAACCCCCCUCAGGUCCUGUACCCGGUCCAGACUGGUGGCUCUCUGGUGGCUGAGAUGGUCCCUCGUGCAGCAGAUGUGGGCUAUCUGGUGACUAAAGUGGUGGCUGUGGAUGUGGACUCUGGACAGAAUGCCUGGCUGUCGUAUAAACUGCAGAAAGCCACAGACAGGGCGCUGUUUGAAGUGGGCUUACAGAAUGGAGAAAUCCGAACUAUCCGCCAAGUGAGUGAUAAAGAUGCUGUGAAACAAAGACU